This 68-nucleotide transfer RNA is filed under the name Caenolestes fuliginosus (silky shrew opossum). Its description in RNAcentral is "transfer RNA-Arg". It matches the Rfam family "tRNA". From Rfam's summary of the family: Transfer RNA (tRNA) molecules are approximately 80 nucleotides in length. Their secondary structure includes four short double-helical elements and three loops (D, anti-codon, and T loops). The record is from RNAcentral. Lineage: Eukaryota; Metazoa; Chordata; Mammalia; Paucituberculata; Caenolestidae.
AAGUAUUUAAUCUAAUAAAGAUAAUUGAUUUCGACUCAAUAAAUUAUGGUACUAUCCCAUAAGUACUU